RNAcentral lists this ribosomal RNA (568 nucleotides) under uncultured fungus. RNAcentral's name for it is "eukaryotic LSU rRNA". It matches the Rfam family "Eukaryotic large subunit ribosomal RNA", at positions 65 to 652 of the family's 3401-position model. The record is from RNAcentral. Lineage: Eukaryota; Fungi.
ACAACAGGGAUUGCCUCAGUAACGGCGAGUGAAGCGGCAACAGCUCAAAUUUGAAAUCUCCUUCGGGCGAGUUGUAAUUUGUAGAGGAUGUUUCGGGCACCGCUCCGGGUUAAAUUUCUUGGAACAGAAUGUCAAAGAGGGUGAGAGUCCCGUCUUGGCCCGCGGUAGGACCCAUGUGAAACUCCUUCGACGAGUCGAGUUGUUUGGGAAUGCAGCUCAAAAUGGGUGGUAAAUUUCAUCUAAAGCUAAAUAUUGGCCAGAGACCGAUAGCGCACAAGUAGAGUGAUCGAAAGAUGAAAAGCACUUUGAAAAGAGAGUUAAACAGUAUGUGAAAUUGUUGAAAGGGAAGCGCUUGCAACCAGACUCGAGCGCGGCGGUUCCCCCUUGCUUCUGCUUGGGCUACUCCGUCAUGACCGGGCCAACAUCAGUUCUGGGGGCCGGUAAAAGGUCCGGGGAAUGUAUCCACUCCUUCGGGUGUGGACUUAUAGCCUCGGGCGUCAUGCGGCCUCCCGGGACUGAGGAACGCGCUUCGGCGAGGAUGUUGGCGUAAUGGUUGUAAGCGACCCGU